UAGCAUAUCAAUAAGCGGAGGAAAAGAAACCAACAGGGAUUGCCCCAGUAACGGCGAGUGAAGCGGCAAGAGCUCAAAUUUGAAAGCUGGCUCCUUCGGGGUCCGCAUUGUAAUUUGCAGAGGAUGCUUCGGGAGCGGCCCCCAUCUAAGUGCCCUGGAACGGGCCGUCAUAGAGGGUGAGAAUCCCGUAUGGGAUGGGGUGCCCGCGCCCGUGUGAAGCUCCUUCGACGAGUCGAGUUGUUUGGGAAUGCAGCUCUAAAUGGGUGGUAAAUUUCAUCUAAAGCUAAAUAUUGGCCGGAGACCGAUAGCGCACAAGUAGAGUGAUCGAAAGAUGAAAAGCACUUUGAAAAGAGAGUUAAAAAGCACGUGAAAUUGUUGAAAGGGAAGCGUUUGCGACCAGACUCGCCUACGGGGUUCAGCCGGCUUUCGGGCCGGUGUACUUCCCCGUGGGCGGGCCAGCGUCGGUUUGGGCGGCCGGUCAAAGGCCCUCGGAAUGUAACGCCUCUCGGGGCGUCUUAUAGCCGAGGGUGCCAUGCGGCCUGCCCGGACCGAGGAACGCGCUUCGGCUCGGACGCUGGCAUAAUGGUCGUAAACGACCCGUCUUGAAACACGGACCAAGGAGUCUAACAUCUAUGCGAGUGUUCGGGUGUCAAACCCGUGCGCGCAGUGAAAGCGAACGGAGGUGGGAACCCUUUGGGUGCACCAUCGACCGAUCCAGAAGUCUUCGGAUGGAUUUGAGUAAGAGCAUAGCUGUUGGGACCCGAAAGAUGGUGAACUAUGCCUGAAUAGGGCGAAGCCAGAGGAAACUCUGGUGGAGGCUCGCAGCGGUUCUGACGUGCAAAUCGAUCGUCAAAUUUGGGUAUAGGGGCGAAAGACUAAUCGAACCAUCUAGUAGCUGGUUCCUGCCGAA
RNAcentral lists this ribosomal RNA (910 nucleotides) under Penicillium herquei. RNAcentral's name for it is "LSU rRNA". It matches the Rfam family "Eukaryotic large subunit ribosomal RNA", at positions 36 to 965 of the family's 3401-position model. Lineage: Eukaryota; Fungi; Ascomycota; Eurotiomycetes; Eurotiales; Aspergillaceae. The record is from RNAcentral.